Ciona intestinalis (vase tunicate) is the source of this 523-nucleotide non-coding RNA. NCBI's taxonomy places the organism in Eukaryota, Metazoa, Chordata, Ascidiacea, Phlebobranchia, Cionidae. The record is from RefSeq and is a predicted model, not a curated record.
CAGUCUUUGCGUUUGGUACCAGCAAACGAGGAGCUCACUUUUUAAAUGUUGCAAUCGAAUUUUGUUGUUUAUCAGGCGUAUCGUGCCUUAUCUAAGAAAUCGUAUGGCGCAUUCAUUAAGAAGAAAAUGAUUUUAUUAAAAAAAGAGAUUUUAUUGAGCAGAAGGGAUUUUACUUCGGACAGCAGAUGCAUCGGAAACAAUCAAACAACGCUAGUUAUAAAAAGCGCCGAGUUUUGCAAUAUUUCAUCAGUUCUUCACAAGAAAUAACAUGAACAAGUCAGCACUUCUACUUUUGCUUCUCAUCGGACUUCUCGUCCUCACUGAAACUACAACUGCGUGGUGGGGCCGUCGUCGUCGUCAUGUUACAGCUUAUGACCAACAGGAAAUACCAGAAAUGAACGAAAUUCCAGAUAUGGAAUCCGAGGACGGUUUCACAUGGUCUCUCCGUGGAUAAGAAUAACUACUUAAUCGUGUAUAAGCUGCAAUCGUACGAUUUUAAUAAAUUGAACACCAGCAAAACAUA